Molecule: small RNA, 190 nt
Filed under: Acinetobacter sp. CIP 102637
Lineage: Bacteria; Pseudomonadati; Pseudomonadota; Gammaproteobacteria; Moraxellales; Moraxellaceae
Description: Aar sRNA
Rfam family: Aar sRNA
Source: Rfam by way of RNAcentral
AUUAACAUCUAUUAACAGUAGUUAACAUGAAUACCUAUGAACUUGGUUAAGUUUUUUUAUAUGAUGACUAUGUAGAUUAGAAAAAACUAAUCUUAUGAUAUUUCUCCUUUUCAUCGGAACUGUUUUACAGAUUCGUAGUUCUACGCAAUGAUCACCCCAAUCAUUGCGUUUUUUUUAUGCCUAUUUCUCG